Molecule: ribosomal RNA, 446 nt
Filed under: uncultured bacterium
Lineage: Bacteria
Description: bacterial SSU rRNA
Rfam family: Bacterial small subunit ribosomal RNA
Source: RNAcentral
GCCAGACUCCUACGGGAGGCAGCAGUGGGGAAUAUUGCACAAUGGGCGCAAGCCUGAUGCAGCGACGCCGCGUGAGCGAAGAAGUAUUUCGGUAUGUAAAGCUCUAUCAGCAGGGAAGAAAAUGACGGUACCUGACUAAGAAGCUCCGGCUAAAUACGUGCCAGCAGCCGCGGUAAUACGUAUGGAGCAAGCGUUAUCCGGAAUUACUGGGUGUAAAGGGAGCGUAGACGGCGACGCAAGUCUGGAGUGAAAGCCCGGGGCCCAACCCCGGGACUGCUCUGGAAACUGCGUCGCUGGAGUACGGGAGGGGCAGGCGGAAUUCCUGGUGUAGCGGUGAAAUGCGUAGAUAUCAGGAGGAACACCGGCGGCGAAGGCGGCCUGCUGGACCGUGACUGACGUUGAGGCUCGAGAGCGUGGGGAGCAAACAGGAUUAGAUACCCGGGUAA